AACAAAUCAACCAUUCAAGCCACAUAUCCAUCAAAUCCAGUUACCGCCAUCCGCGCAUUCAACCUGGUAGGUUUAAGUUUAGCGCCAUCUAUGAAAAUUAAACACAAAAUAUCUUGUUGUUGGAAAAUCUAUUUUAUUUCAUUUUAAAAGAAAAAAAUUCCAAUCAUUUUCGUUAAAAAUUUCUAAAUAAAUGAUAGAUUUAUUAGUUGAUCGAUUUAAUAAA
Molecule: non-coding RNA, 223 nt
Organism: Dermatophagoides farinae (American house dust mite)
Lineage: Eukaryota; Metazoa; Arthropoda; Arachnida; Sarcoptiformes; Pyroglyphidae
Source: RefSeq, a predicted model, not a curated record